Molecule: ribosomal RNA, 468 nt
Filed under: uncultured bacterium
Lineage: Bacteria
Description: partial 16S ribosomal RNA
Rfam family: Bacterial small subunit ribosomal RNA
Source: RNAcentral
GACGAACGCUGGCGGCGUGCUUAACACAUGCAAGUCGAACGGAAAGGCCCUGCUUUUGUGGGGUGCUCGAGUGGCGAACGGGUGAGUAACACGUGAGUAACCUGCCCUUGACUUUGGGAUAACUUCAGGAAACUGGGGCUAAUACCGGAUAGGAUCUCCUGCUGCAUGGUGGGGGUUGGAAAGUUUCGGCGGUGGGGGCUGGACUCGCGGGUUAUCAGCUUGUUGGUGGGGUAGGGGCUUACCAGGGCUUUGACGGGUAGCCGGCAUUGGAGGGUGACCGGGCACAUUGGGACUGCGAGACGGCCCAGACUGCAACGGGAGGCAGCAGUGGGGAGUAUUGCACAAUGGGCGGAAGCCUGAUGCAGCAACGCCGCGUGCGGGAUGACGGCCUUCGGGUUGUAAACCGCUUUCGCUUGUGACGAAGCGUGAGUGACGGUAAUGGGUAAAGAAGCACCGGCUAACUACGUG